GCCUUCGUGGUGUAAUGGUCAGUACACUUGGCGCGUAUACGAGAGGUCCGUGGUUCGAGUCCCGGCAAGGGCA
This is a non-coding RNA of Stegodyphus mimosarum, 73 nucleotides long. The record is from Rfam. NCBI's taxonomy places the organism in Eukaryota, Metazoa, Arthropoda, Arachnida, Araneae, Eresidae.